RNAcentral lists this transfer RNA (63 nucleotides) under Creontiades dilutus (green mirid). RNAcentral describes it as "tRNA-His". Lineage: Eukaryota; Metazoa; Arthropoda; Insecta; Hemiptera; Miridae. The record is from RNAcentral.
AUCUAAAUAGUUUAUUAAGAAUUAUAAUUUGUGGAGUUAUGGGUGUAUUCAAUACUUUAGAUC